CUUUCUGUAUGGAUUUGCCUAUUU
This 24-nucleotide non-coding RNA is filed under the name Rattus norvegicus (Norway rat). The record is from RNAcentral. Lineage: Eukaryota; Metazoa; Chordata; Mammalia; Rodentia; Muridae.